This 139-nucleotide ribosomal RNA is filed under the name uncultured fungus. RNAcentral's name for it is "5.8S ribosomal RNA". It matches the Rfam family "5.8S ribosomal RNA". From Rfam's summary of the family: 5.8S ribosomal RNA (5.8S rRNA) is a component of the large subunit of the eukaryotic ribosome. It is transcribed by RNA polymerase I as part of the 45S precursor that also contains 18S and 28S rRNA. Lineage: Eukaryota; Fungi. The record is from RNAcentral.
ACAACUGCGAACAAUGGAUCUCUUGGCUCCUGCAACGAUGAAGAACGCAGCAAAGUGCGAUACGUGGUGCGACCUGCACGAACCUGUGAGUCAUCGAAUCUUUGAACGCAACUUGCGCCCUCGGGCAUGUGUGCUUGAG